GCCUCCAGGACGACGAUCCGGUAACUGGAUCUGAGAGGAUGAUCAGAUCACACAUGGUAACUGAGACACGGAUCCAUCACCUCCGUACGGGAGGCAGCGGUGGGGAAUAUUGGACAAUGGGCGAAAGCCUGAUCCACGCCAUGCCGCGUGUGUGAAGAAGGUCUUCGGAUUGUAAAGCACUUUAAGUUGGGAGGAAGGGCAGUAAGUUAAUACCUUGCUGUUUUGACGUUACCAACAAAAUAAGCCCCGGCUAAUUUCGUGCCAGCACCCGCGGUAAUACAAAGGGUGCAAGCGUUAAUCGGAAUUACUGGGCGUAAAGCGCGCGUAGGUGGUUCAGCAAGUUGGAUGUGAAAUCCCCGGGCUCAACCUGGGAACUGCAUCCAAAACUACUGAUCUAGAGUACGGUAGAGGGUGGUGGAAUUUCCUGUGUAGCGGUGAAAUGCGUAUAUAUAGGAAGGAACACCAGUGGCGAAGGCGACCACCUGGACUGAUACUGACACUGAGGUGCGAAAGCGUGGGGAGCAAACAGGAUUAUAUACCCUGGUAGUCCACGCCGUAAACAUGUCCACUAGCCGUUGGGAUCCUUGAAUCAUAGUGGCGCAUCUAACGCGAUAAGUCCACCGCCUGGGGAGUACGGCCGCAAGGUUAAAACUCAAAUGAAUUGACGGAAUCCUAGUG
Molecule: ribosomal RNA, 678 nt
Filed under: uncultured Pseudomonas sp.
Lineage: Bacteria; Pseudomonadati; Pseudomonadota; Gammaproteobacteria; Pseudomonadales; Pseudomonadaceae
Description: bacterial SSU rRNA
Rfam family: Bacterial small subunit ribosomal RNA
Source: RNAcentral